This 253-nucleotide ribosomal RNA is filed under the name uncultured bacterium. Its description in RNAcentral is "partial 16S ribosomal RNA". It matches the Rfam family "Bacterial small subunit ribosomal RNA", at positions 524 to 776 of the family's 1533-position model. The record is from RNAcentral.
UACAGAGGUCUCAAGCGUUGUCCGGAAUCAUUGGGCGUAAAGCGCGUGUAGGCGGCUCGGUAAGUCCGCUCUGAAAGUCCAGGGCUCAACCCUGGGAUGCGGGUGGAUACUGCCGGGCUCGAGUCCGGAAGAGGCGAGUGGAAUUCCCGGUGUAGCGGUGAAAUGCGCAGAUAUCAGGAAGAACACCUAUGGCGAAGGCAGCUCUCUGGGACGGUACUGACGCUGAGACGCGAAAGCGUGGGGAGCGAACAGG